AGGACGAACGCUGGCGGCGUGCUUAACACAUGCAAGUCGAGCGGUAAGGCCUUUCGGGGUACACGAGCGGCGAACGGGUGAGUAACACGUGGGUGAUCUGCCCUGCACCCUGGGAUAAGCCUGGGAAACUGGGUCUAAUACCGGAUAUGACCUGCUCUCGCAUGGGGGUGGGUGGAAAGAUUUAUCGGUGCAGGAUGGGCCCGCGGCCUAUCAGCUUGUUGGUGGGGUAAUGGCCUACCAAGGCGACGACGGGUA
This 255-nucleotide ribosomal RNA is filed under the name uncultured soil bacterium. RNAcentral describes it as "partial 16S ribosomal RNA". It matches the Rfam family "Bacterial small subunit ribosomal RNA", at positions 26 to 285 of the family's 1533-position model. The record is from RNAcentral.